Molecule: ribosomal RNA, 445 nt
Filed under: uncultured bacterium
Lineage: Bacteria
Description: SSU rRNA
Rfam family: Bacterial small subunit ribosomal RNA
Source: RNAcentral
AGAGCGAACGCUGGCGGCAGGCCUAACACAUGCAAGUCGAGCGCCCCGCAAGGGGAGCGGCAGACGGGAGAGUAACACGUGGGAACGUACCCUUUGGUUCGGAACAACACAGGGAAACUUGUGCUAAUACCGGAUAGGCCCUUACGGGGAAAGAUUUAUUGCCAAAGGAUCGGCCCGCGUCUGAUUAGCUUGUUGGUGAGGUAACGGCUCACCAAGGCUACGAUCAGUAGCUGGUCUGAGAGGAUGAUCAGCCUCACUGGGACUGAGACACGGCCCAGACUCCUACGGGAGGCAGCAGUGGGGAAUAUUGGACAAUGGGCGCAAGCCUGAUCCAGCCAUGCCGCGUGGAUGAUGAAGGCCCUAGGGUUGUAAAGUCCUUUCGGACGGGGAAGAUAAUGACGGUACCCGUAGAAGAAGCCCCGGCUAACUUCGUGCCAGCAGCCGC